AUGACCUGGCAUUUGGACCUUGCCAGUGCCCCCUGGCCUGGCUACCUGCUGUGUCCUCUAUGUCGCCUCUUGCCAGGAGCAAGAUGGAUCGGGAUAAUUUGGCUGUCAGCCACGUUGAAUGACGAGCCGUCAGCUAAGCCUGCAGACGCCCCACUUCUGGAAGCGCAUCGGACAAGAACUGAUGGAGCUGGAAAUGAAUACAAAGAAUGUGUGAGUUUAGCAGUACUGAAAUAUGUUUGGUUUUGUGGUUGUAUUUUCUUUUUUUUUUUUUACAAAAUAAAAAACUUAAGAGCCAUUACCAAAAAGCCAUUUGCUCUUCAUUGCCUAGUAAUCAUUCAAUACUGAGAAUGUAGGAAGUGCUUCAGUGAUAAUGGCCGAAUAUAAAUCCUUCAUUACACGCAAUCUAUCAGCAGUGUGCUCUCCUUUGAGCGCUGGCUGUGUUUAAUAAGAAAGACCUUCCCUUUUCAUCGGAGGCAGCCUGACUCUGUAGCCUCUGCAUGACACCAGCACAGCACUAAUACCUUCCUUGUAUUGCAGAGCAAAAACCGCAUCAAUGCCGAAAUGAAGUGAACACAAUGCUGCGUGCACGAAAGCGCACGCACGCACACACACACACACACACACACGCACACACACACACACACACACACACACACACACACACACACACACACACACACACACACACACACACACACACACACACAUAUAAUUUCCUUUGCCUGUCUUGCGAAAAAAAAACAUUUCUCACUGUUUAAUAAACACACAUAGA
Molecule: long non-coding RNA, 772 nt
Filed under: Betta splendens (Siamese fighting fish)
Lineage: Eukaryota; Metazoa; Chordata; Actinopteri; Anabantiformes; Osphronemidae
Description: lncRNA (ENSBSLG00000020881.1)
Source: RNAcentral